AGGUGCCCGUACCGCAAACCGACACAGGUAGUCAAGAUGAGAAUUCUAAGGUGAGCGAGCGAACUCUCGUUAAGGAACUCGGCAAAAUGACCCCGUACCUUCGGUAUAAGGGGUGCUCAUCCCGCGAGGGAUGAGCCGCAGAGAAUCGGCUCUAGCGACUGUUUAUCAAAAACACAGGUCUCCGCGAAGUCGAAAGACAAUGUAUGGGGGCUGACGCCUGCCCAGUGCCGGAAGGUUAAAG
This 241-nucleotide ribosomal RNA is filed under the name Asterionellopsis glacialis. RNAcentral's name for it is "partial Bacterial large subunit ribosomal RNA". It matches the Rfam family "Bacterial large subunit ribosomal RNA", at positions 1636 to 1882 of the family's 2925-position model. The record is from RNAcentral. Lineage: Eukaryota; Bacillariophyta; Plagiogrammaphyceae; Rhaphoneidales; Asterionellopsidaceae.